UGCCUUUUGGUCGGGGACUACCACUGGAAACGGUGGCUAAUACCGGAUGUGCCUACGGGUGAAAGAUUUAUUGCCAAAAGAGGAGCUCGCGUCUGAUUAGCUAGUUGGUGGGGUAAAGGCUUACCAAGGCAGCGAUCAAUAGCUGGUCUGAGAGGACGAUCAGUCACACUGGGACUGUGACACGGCCCAGACUCUUACGGGAGGCAGCAGUGGGGAAUUUUCCGCAAUGGGCGAAAGCCUGACGGAGCAAUACCGCGUGAGGGAGGAAGGCUCUUGGGUCGUAAACCUCUUUUGUCAGGGAAGAACACAAUGACGGUACCUGACGAAUCAGCAUCGGCUAACUCCGUGCCAGCAGCCGCGGUAAUACGGAGGAUGCAAGCGUUAUCCGGAAUUAUUGGGCGUAAAGCGUGCGCAGGUGGCUUGUCAAGUCUGCUGUCAAAGACU
RNAcentral lists this ribosomal RNA (444 nucleotides) under uncultured Lyngbya sp. RNAcentral's name for it is "bacterial SSU rRNA". It matches the Rfam family "Bacterial small subunit ribosomal RNA", at positions 127 to 603 of the family's 1533-position model. The record is from RNAcentral. Lineage: Bacteria; Bacillati; Cyanobacteriota; Cyanophyceae; Oscillatoriales; Microcoleaceae.